Molecule: ribosomal RNA, 484 nt
Filed under: uncultured bacterium
Lineage: Bacteria
Description: partial 16S ribosomal RNA
Rfam family: Bacterial small subunit ribosomal RNA
Source: RNAcentral
AUUGAACGCUGGCGGCAGGCCUAACACAUGCAAGUCGAGCGGAUGAAGGGAGCUUGCGCCUGGAUUCAGCGGCGGACGGGUGAGUAAUGCCUAGGAAUCUGCCUGGUAGUGGGGGAUAACGUCCGGAAACGGGCGCUAAUACCGCAUACGUCCUGAGGGAGAAAGUGGGGGAUCUUCGGACCUCACGCUAUCAGAUGAGCCUAGGUCGGAUUAGCUAGUUGGUGGGGUAAAGGCCUACCAAGGCGACGAUCCGUAACUGGUCUGAGAGGAUGAUCAGUCACACUGGAACUGAGACACGGUCCAGACUCCUACGGGAGGCAGCAGUGGGGAAUAUUGGACAAUGGGCGAAAGCCUGAUCCAGCCAUGCCGCGUGUGUGAAGAAGGUCUUCGGAUUGUAAAGCACUUUAAGUUGGGAGGAAGGGCAGUAAGUUAAUACCUGGCUGUUUUGACGUUACCAACAGAAUAAGCACCGGCUAACUUCGUG